GAUGAACGCUGGCGGCGUGCCUAAUACAUGCAAGUCGAGCGAACGGACGAGAAGAUUUCUUCUCUGAUGUUAGCGGCGGACGGGUGAGUAACACGUGGAUAACCUACCUAUAAGACUGGGAUAACUUCGGGAAACCGCAUCUAAUACCGGAUAAUAUUUUGAACCGCAUGGUUCAAAAGUGAAAGACGGUCUUGCUGUCACUUAUAGAUGUAUCCGCGCUGCAUUAGCUAGUUGGUAAGGUAACGGCUUACCAAGGCAACGAUGCAUAGCCGACCUGAGAGGGUGAUCGGCCACACUGGAACUGAGACACGGUCCAGACUCCUACGGGAGGCAGCAGUAGGGAAUCUUGCGCAAUGGGCGAAAGCCUGACGGAGCAACGCCGCGUGAGUGAUGAAGGUCUUCGGAUCGUAAAACUCUGUUAUUAGGGAAGAAAAUAUGUGUAAGUAACUGUGCCUAUCUUGACGGUACCUAAUCAGAAAGCAACGGCUAACUACGUG
RNAcentral lists this ribosomal RNA (497 nucleotides) under uncultured bacterium. RNAcentral's name for it is "partial 16S ribosomal RNA". It matches the Rfam family "Bacterial small subunit ribosomal RNA", at positions 28 to 507 of the family's 1533-position model. The record is from RNAcentral.